Oncorhynchus tshawytscha (Chinook salmon) is the source of this 441-nucleotide long non-coding RNA. Lineage: Eukaryota; Metazoa; Chordata; Actinopteri; Salmoniformes; Salmonidae. The record is from Ensembl.
GCCUGGUGAUGAGGGGUCACCAGGUGGGGUUAUAGUGAUGGAGAGGCCUGAUGAUGAGGAGUCACCAGGUGGGGUUAUAGUGAUGGAGAGGCCUGAUGAUGAGGAGUCACCAGGUGGGGUUAUAGUGAUGGAGAGGCCUGAUGAUAAGGGGUCACCAGGUGGGGUUAUAGUCAUGGAGAAGCCUGAUGAUGAGGGGUCACCAGGUGCAACAGGUGGUGAAGGGGACGGAAGAGACACCACACCUGUUCACAGCACUGGCACUUCUGAUACCACAGAGAGAAUAAAGUCGACGGCGCAGGUCAAACGUCUGAUUUAUGACCCUAUGUCAUGAUGACGUGUGCAUGCCCUUAUUUGGGCAUCCGGUCAGGACAUCCUGGCGGGAACUGAUCACGUGCUAAUGCCCAUAUAUGGGCAUCCGGUUCCUGUUCUCACGCAUUAGAG